GGGAUAGAAAAAUAUCAAUAAUACUAAUAAAUAAAGACGACUGUUUAUGGCAGACUACUAUUGAUCGGACUGAUAGUUAUAUAAAAGGAAUCAAUUAUCUAACUAAUUAUUACUAACAGCAGUUAUUGACAUGUGUUGUUGUCGCCCGCAGUUGAAUUUUAAGGUUUCUCCUCCCACUUUGCGUUUAAGGUUUCUCGCACCGAGAAAACUAUUUGUGAGUUUUAUUUUUCUUCUCUAAAUUUUAAGGUUUCUCCUCCCACUUUGCGUUUA
Molecule: long non-coding RNA, 270 nt
Filed under: Medicago truncatula (barrel medic)
Lineage: Eukaryota; Viridiplantae; Streptophyta; Magnoliopsida; Fabales; Fabaceae
Description: long non-coding RNA (MTRU_LNC002825)
Source: RNAcentral